This 72-nucleotide transfer RNA is filed under the name Pongo abelii (Sumatran orangutan). It matches the Rfam family "tRNA". From Rfam's summary of the family: Transfer RNA (tRNA) molecules are approximately 80 nucleotides in length. Lineage: Eukaryota; Metazoa; Chordata; Mammalia; Primates; Hominidae. The record is from Rfam by way of RNAcentral.
AGGGGUAUAGCUCAGGGUUAGAGCAUUAGACUGUGAACCAAGAGGCCACCAGUUCGAUUCUGGAUACCCCCU